RNAcentral lists this ribosomal RNA (1086 nucleotides) under uncultured bacterium. RNAcentral's name for it is "bacterial SSU rRNA". It matches the Rfam family "Bacterial small subunit ribosomal RNA", at positions 349 to 1413 of the family's 1533-position model. The record is from RNAcentral.
CACCAGGUGGGAAUUUUUGCCACAAUGGGGCCAAACCCUUGAUGCAACCCAUCCCCGGUUUUAUGAAAGAAGCCCUUCCGGGUUUGAAAAAGUAUUUUCAACCAGUGAGGAAGGGGGGUGUCGUUAAAUAGCGGCAUUUCUUUGACGUUAGCUGCAGAAGAAGCCCCGGCUAAAUCCGUGCCAGCAGCCGCGGUAAUACGGAGGGUGCGAGCGUUAAUCGGAAUUACUGGGCGUAAAGCGCAUGCAGGUGGUUUGUUAAGUCAGAUGUGAAAGCCCGGGGCUCAACCUCGGAACUGCAUUUGAAACUGGCAAACUAGAGUACUGUAGAGGGGGGUAGAAUUUCAGGUGUAGCGGUGAAAUGCGUAGAGAUCUGAAGGAAUACCAGUGGCGAAGGCGGCCCCCUGGACAGAUACUGACACUCAGAUGCGAAAGCGUGGGGAGCAAACAGGAUUAGAUACCCUGGUAGUCCACGCCGUAAACGAUGUCUACUUGGAGGUUGUGGCCUUGAGCCGUGGCUUUCGGAGCUAACGCGUUAAGUAGACCGCCUGGGGAGUACGGUCGCAAGAUUAAAACUCAAAUGAAUUGACGGGGGCCCGCACAAGCGGUGGAGCAUGUGGUUUAAUUCGAUGCAACGCGAAGAACCUUACCUACUCUUGACAUCCAGAGAACUUUUCAGAGAUGAAUUGGUGCCUUCGGGAACUCUGAGACAGGUGCUGCAUGGCUGUCGUCAGCUCGUGUUGUGAAAUGUUGGGUUAAGUCCCGCAACGAGCGCAACCCUUAUCCUUGUUUGCCAGCGAGUAAUGUCGGGAACUCCAGGGAGACUGCCGGUGAUAAACCGGAGGAAGGUGGGGACGACGUCAAGUCAUCAUGGCCCUUACGAGUAGGGCUACACACGUGCUACAAUGGCGCAUACAGAGGGCAGCCAACUCGCGAGAGUGAGCGAAUCCCAAAAAGUGCGUCGUAGUCCGGAUUGGAGUCUGCAACUCGACUCCAUGAAGUCGGAAUCGCUAGUAAUCGUAGAUCAGAAUGCUACGGUGAAUACGUUCCCGGGCCUUGUACACACCGCCCGUCACACCAUGGGAGUGG